GAUGAACGCUGGCGGCGUGCCUAAUACAUGCAAGUCGAGCGAACGGACGAGAAGCUUGCUUUUCUGAUGUUAGCGGCGGACGGGUGAGUAACACGUGGAUAACCUACCUAUAAGACUGGGAUAACUUCGGGAAACCUGAGCUAAUACCGGAUAAUAUUUUGAACCGCAUGGUUCAAAAGUGAAAGACGGUCUUGCUGUCACUUAUAGAUGGAUCCGCGCUGCAUUAGCUAGUUGGUAAGGUAACGGCUUACCAAGGCAACGAUGCAUAGCCGACCUGAGAGGGUGAUCGGCCACACUGGAACUGAGACACGGUCCAGACUCCUACGGGAGGCAGCAGUAGGGAAUCUUCCGCAAUGGGCGAAAGCCUGACGGAGCAACGCCGCGUGAGUGAUGAAGGUCUUCGGAUCGUAAAACUCUGUUAUUAGGGAAGAACAUAUGUGUAAGUAACUGUGCACAUCUUGACGGUACCUAAUCAGAAAGCCACGGCUAACUACGUG
This 497-nucleotide ribosomal RNA is filed under the name uncultured bacterium. Its description in RNAcentral is "partial 16S ribosomal RNA". It matches the Rfam family "Bacterial small subunit ribosomal RNA", at positions 28 to 507 of the family's 1533-position model. The record is from RNAcentral.